RNAcentral lists this ribosomal RNA (231 nucleotides) under Triticum aestivum (bread wheat). Its description in RNAcentral is "partial small subunit ribosomal RNA". Lineage: Eukaryota; Viridiplantae; Streptophyta; Magnoliopsida; Poales; Poaceae. The record is from RNAcentral.
AUGGAAUCGGGGGGAGCGACGGCCGGCGUCGGCGCCGAGAAGAAUUCGUGGCCGGAGGUGGUGGGCCUGUCGUCGGAGGAGGCCAAGAAGAAGAUCAUAGAGCACAAGCCGGACGCCAGCGUCCACGUCGUUCCGGCCGACUCCUUCGUCACCAUGGAUUACAACACCGGCCGAGUCAGGGUGUUCGUCGACUCCAACGACAAGGUCACGAAAGCUCCCAGGAUUGGCUAG